UCUGAAGGAAGAAAAGCAGAAUUGCUAUUAUUGACUCCAGACAAGCAAGAGACGCACAAAUUGGAUUCAAAUUGUGAUACAGUCCUGUGUAUGAGUUUUCUCUAACUUAGUCCCAUGUACACCUCCAACCUCAUAUAUCAAUCAGUAGAAGGCAUAGACACUUCUUCCAAGAUGAACCCAGAACCAUCUGCGAAGGAGGCACCACCCAUGAUAGGCUUGGUUCUCUUCUAUCAAUCACUAUGAAAAUGUCCUACAUCUUGACCUUGUGGAAGUAUUCUCUCAGUUGAAGUUCCUACCUUUCAAGUAGCUCUAGCUUGUGUCAAGUUGACAAAAUGAAUCAACACAGCUAGGCUUUUCUUCCAGCAUGUUUGGGACGACAGAGAGAAAGAGCUGGCAAGCACUGCCUUGCUGGGUUUGAGAUUCUAAAGAGGCUGAGAAAAGAGUAAAGCAGGAGUCAUGGAUCUUACCAGCGGUUUAACAGGUGAUAAAGCUGUUGUCCUGGAUUCUAUGUCGUGGAAAAAGUAGGUUCUGGGAUCAUGGGGUCUUUAUAAUAAUUGGUUAAUACUUAUCAGCCUCCAGCUAUUGAUGGUCACCAUUUAUAAAAGAUAUUUUGAGCCUAUGAACAGAGGAGAAACAAAGUGUUAUUUCAGUAGAGAUGAGACUCUGCAGUGGUGUAACAGCCCUGCCUAGGCUGCCCAACCAUCAUAGUCUGAGAACAUCUAUUUCACGAGGACUCUGCUAUGUGCACGGUUCCCUUGGCCUGGGAUGCAUUUUCCAAAAUGUGGCUGCAUCUCCUGUGUGUCUCUGUUCCUCUAUCAAUGCCUGCAGUAACUCAUACCUGAAGAAGCCCCUGGCAAGGCAGAGUUGUGGUUUCUGAACUGGAUGCCACUACAGACCUUUGGGAAUUGCUGCCUCAAAGUGCAAAGAGUUCUUGGACAAUUGCUCUUCUCUGUCCAGCAGGUUUCCUCUCCCUUGUAAAAGGUGUUACUGAAUGUGGAAUGGUCAGGUUUCUCAUCUCUCAGCCUCACCUCCCAUACCUUUCUCCCAAUACCACUCAUAUACGUUUGACACCAGUAACCCUGCUCCCCAGCUUACAGUUCAUAGGGACCUGCAUGACCUGACCUAUGCAUUUACCUUCCGUUCUCAUGUCCCCAGUCCUGCCUAGUUUUAUGUUGAGCUGAUACAAUUUAAAGUCAUCUGGGAGGAGGGAGGAUCAUUUGAGAAUUUGCACACACAAGACUAGAUUACAGGCAAGCGUGUAGGGCAUUUUCUUCAUUAGUGACUGAUGGAGGAGAGCCCAUUCCAUUGUGGGUGGUGCCAUCCAUAGGCUGUUGAUCCUGGAUUCUAUGAAAAUGUAGGCUGUACAAGCCAUGUGGAACAAACCAGGAAGCAGCACUCCUCUGUGCUCUCUUCAACAGUGCUACCCCCAGGUUCCUGUACUGAAGGUCACAGACAGGCUAAGAGGAGGGUAGGUGAAUGCUGGCACAAAGAUGCUGGAUUCAUUAUAGAAAUGGAGUAGUCUGACAUAGCCUCUCCUAUAUCAAGGUCUCUACUCCCAAUAUCCCCUGAAAACCCAACAAGCCUUUGGUACAGCAAUUCCUUAUCCUGAUGAAGCUCUGCUAUCAAGUGAACUGGAGGAUUGACUGUUUGGCUCUGUCUUUAUUUCUCUGUCUCCCUGCCCCCCUUGCUUUUAAUCUCAUGAAGCCUCUGGAUGUGCAGUACUCACUGGGGCGACGCUGGAUGCUUUUAUCAAUAGUAGCGCCUCCUCCUCCUCCUCCUCUUCCUUUUAACAGUUUCUUUAUCUGAAGAUUUAGGUGGGGCUACGUACAAUACAUUCACCACUAGGGAGAGAGCAGGAAGAGGUUCAGAAUAGGGAAGGAGAUGUGGAACAAAGCUAUGGGACAUUGUUGGGUCUUUCUGUCAAGGAUCAAGUUGACCAUCCUCGGUGAGUGACUGCUGCCAUGUAUGCCAUCUUCCAUGCUAUCAGCAUUGUUCAGGACAAUUUUCUAUUGGCUGUUUUGGUGUUUGUUUGUAACUUCUGGAUGUCCCCUUUGGGUCUCCUUUCACACCACAAUCAAAGCUCUGCUUGCUAACUGUAUUGUGCUUAGCAUUCCUGCUCACACACUGUUCAGCUCCCAUGUUUUCCUCAGCUAGGCAAGAACAACCUUUCACCUCUUUUCCACAAGGAAAUAUGUGAAUCAGA
Molecule: long non-coding RNA, 2203 nt
Organism: Mesocricetus auratus (golden hamster)
Lineage: Eukaryota; Metazoa; Chordata; Mammalia; Rodentia; Cricetidae
Exons: 2
Source: RefSeq, a predicted model, not a curated record